UACGGAGGAUCCAAGCGUUAUCCGGAUUCAUUGGGUUUAAAGGGUGCGUAGGCGGAAUGAUAAGUCAGUGGUGAAAUCCUGCAGCUUAACUGCAGAACUGCCAUUGAUACUGUCAAUCUUGAGUAUAUUUGAUGUGGGCGGAAUGUGUCAUGUAGCGGUGAAAUGCUUAGAUAUGACACAGAACACCGAUUGCGAAGGCAGCUCACAAAACUAUAACUGACGCUGAGGCACGAAAGCGUGGGGAGCAAACAGG
RNAcentral lists this ribosomal RNA (253 nucleotides) under uncultured bacterium. RNAcentral describes it as "partial 16S ribosomal RNA". It matches the Rfam family "Bacterial small subunit ribosomal RNA", at positions 524 to 776 of the family's 1533-position model. The record is from RNAcentral.